AUUGAACGCUAGCGGGAUGCCUUACACAUGCAAGUCGAACGAGUGGCGAACGGGUGAGUAAUGUAUCGGAACGUGCCCAGUAGCGGGGGAUAACUACGCGAAACGUAGCUAAUACCGCAUACUAUUGGAGCGGCCGAUAUCGGCUUCGCUAGUUGGUGGGGUAACGGCUCACCAAGGCGACGAUCCGUAGCUGGUUUGAGAGGAUGACCAGCCACAUUUGGAUUGCACCAUGGCCCAUACUCCUAAGGGAGGCAGCAGUGGGGAAUUGUGGACAUUGGGGGAAACCCUGAUCCACCCAUCCCGCGUGUGCGAUGAAGGCCUUCGGGUUGUAAAGAACUUUUGGCAGGAAAGCGGUACCUGCAGAAUAAGCACCGGCUAACUACGUGCCAGCGGCCGCGGUAAUUC
This 405-nucleotide ribosomal RNA is filed under the name uncultured bacterium. RNAcentral's name for it is "partial 16S ribosomal RNA". It matches the Rfam family "Bacterial small subunit ribosomal RNA", at positions 30 to 526 of the family's 1533-position model. The record is from RNAcentral.